AAAAAAUAACGUGUCAAUAUAAAACCAAUAAUAGUUAAACCGGAAUAAACCGGGCCAAGGUAUAGGGAGAAUAUUCCUAAAGUGUAAUCUACUAGCUUCUGACGAAAGUUCUAGUCCAUCUACAAGGCCAGGGACCUCGUGCGUAUAAAUGUAGUCAGAUAGUGACGUAAUGCUUUGAGUUUAUCACCGUAUUUAAAAAAUAUUUUUUGAAAGGAAAUAAAUUAAACGCAAAGUCACUUUUUUGAAAACGCGUGAGAGUAAUUUAAUCAAUUUAUUAAUUUUAUAUGAAAAUAGAGAUAUAAAUAUGCACGUCUAUGUAUAUCUAUGCAAGUGUACUUUGACAGGGUACGGAGAUUCGGCUGUGGAACCAACUUGCCCAAAUUUGAUAAUCAGGGCCCCAUUAAAAAUUAAUUGUUUUAAGUUAUGGAACAAUUAAACUCAAGAUAUGGUAUGAUAUAUUUUUCUUUUUGUCUUUUCUAAUACGAUUUUAAAAAUGUUUAUUCGGGAAUAUAAAAGAAAAAAACAGCGGAUUUCUAAAAUGAAACAAAAAAAAAAUCAAUAAAGACACAUGAGGAUUGCUUACGUGAGAUGUUGGUAACGAUUUGGCAGCUUCAAUGGUUCGAAGGAAAUGGUGCAUGUUAUCAUCGCAAGAGGCAGCAUCAUCGGCGUGUUCAACGCCGUACACAAGCAUACCUUUAAGACCCGUAGCCUCGUAAACACUUCUUACGCGCUGCGCGGCUGCGUCAGCGUCUUCACCGGCGCAGAAAUGGUCAUAAAACGUACUUUUCACAAGUCCAAGGACCAUGUCACGUGUUAACGCGGUUUCCAUGAGUUUAGAACUCAUGACCCACGAUCCAAGAUCCACCAUAGGACCUAUCGCCGCCGCAUGCAGCACGGCGGUGGAGCGGAGAAGAUCGGAGGUGGGGACAGAGGCAAAGAGACGGGCUUGGUCGGACAGAUCGAUGUCAUUGUGAGCUUCGUUUGGUUUUGGGUGGGGGACAGGUGGCUCUGGCGCUUGUUGUCCGAAGGAGAGUAUCUCCGGGACGACUGCGGUUGAAGCUGUCACGGUGGGCUGACCCACCGGGCUCAAAGCGGAGAAACGGUAAGGACGACGGAUAAAGUUUGUUCGGAGGAGACGGGCUGCCAUAAAAUUCAAAGAUGUUCUUGAUAAAACGAAAAAUAAAAUUGUUUUUCUUCUCCUCUAAUGUUUCUUAGGCUUCUCGCUUUUAUCGCUUUUCUUUUCUUCUCUCAACGCUUUGUUGUGUGAUUGAUGUCUCCUCCUCUGUUACUGCCACACAUAUUUAUAGAAGAGUAUAAAACUAUAUGCAUAUAUACACGUUUUACGUGUUCCAUAUAAUAGGAUUGUGAUAAAAUUAAAUCAUCUAAAAUUACAACGGAAUCUUUAUAAAGAAAGUCAAAUUCUUAAAUUUAACUCAACAAUAUAUGUUACCAUAAUAAUUACGGACGACAGAGACAGCCAGGCACUGACUAUAAGAUGAGUCAUUGGAUAAGUAUUAAAUUGAUAUUAUAUGAUGACUUUAUUGUUUUUAAAAUUGAAAUAGGAAAUUUCUAGAGAGACGGUGGAGGAAGAUAUGAAGGAUGAGUGGAUGGUGACUCGGAUACAACGCGAGGACCUGGACUUGUUCUUUGAAUCUUUGACUUUUCUAUAUUGGAAUCUCCGGAAUCUUAGUGUUAACUAAUUUGAAUUAAUCAGUAAAUAUUCUCUCCUAAUAAAAGUAAGUAGUUAAAAAUAGAUUUGAAGUUAAAAAAUUUACUUUAGACCAUCUCCAAUGUAUUUUUCUAUUUUUUCCUCUAAAAUAGAAGAACUCUAUAAUAGAGAUAGAUUUGUCUCCAAUGUAUUCUUCUAUUUCUUCUUCUAAAAAGGAAUAUUCUUGAUAUAUUAUUUUCUAAUUUUACAAAUAGUAUUUUUUAUUUGUGAAAGUUAAAAACCAACCCAAUUUAGUUUAACAUUCAUAAAAUUAUGAUAUUAUUUACACUGAAUAUUUUUAUAGAAACUAUUAUGUAAAUAAAAAGUAUGAUUAUAUGUUUAUAUAAACAGUACAUUUUCACUAAAAAAUAUUUAUUUUGGUUAUAAUUGUUAAAAUAAAAAGUUAUUGGAUCAUUUUGUGAAUAAAAAAAGUAUGCUUCUAUUAUAGAGGAAUGCUAUUUCUUCUUCUAAAUAUAGAGGUGAAAAUAGCAAUCUCUAUUUUAGAGGAAUAUAUAGAGUAAGGUUUGAGUGAUUUUACCUCUAAAUGCUAUUAUAGAAGCAAAUAUAGAGGUGGGUUGGAGAUGCUCUUAGCACAACCUCGAUUUUGAUUCACCCAUUAUUUUCUUUUUAUGCACUAACUAAAUUGUAAAAUACUAGUACUAGUUUAUUAAAAAAUGUAGAAUAUACUAUUUUAUUUGUUAACAGCUAAUUCGUUUAUGCAUGUGGUUUUUAAAAUAUCAGAUUUAUCUACCCUACAAAUUUCAGCAAAUACAUUUUUUUCCUUUUGUUACAUGAUAUUCUGUCUAAUAUCAUGUUAUUUGUCUGAAUCUUGAAAAACAUACAUCUUUAUUUACAGUUUUUUCUAGUCUUGCCCAUAAUUUUCGGUCUCUCACCAAGAAGCUUUUAUAAUAGCGCUUGUGAGAAUUUUUUAUUAUAGUUGAUCUUCCACUGUUAAUUAAAUUAACUCGUUAUUACUUUAUUCUUCCAACCCAAACCACUUGACGCAAAAGUGAAGACGAAGAACCAACCAAAGCUAAUAAGAUACAAAUAUACAACCGUACCUUUUCAAAAAGUUUCAAUACAGAGAAUCUUUGACAGAAGCAGAUCUUUACAAAAACAUAAAAGCAAUGAAAACCAAGUGAGCGGGACCCAUCCGUCCCCCAAAAAUGGCAGUGCUACCAAGUUUUGGCAAAAUGAUAAAACAAAAAAAAAAGUAGUUUAUUGAGGAAUUUGAGCCGUUAGAUUUUGAGAGGCGAGAAGGUGAGAGGGUCACGUGAGGAAGUAAAGAGGUUAGGUGAGCAUUGGACACGAAAGUCGCCAGCUGUAGCCGCCAUUUUCAUUGGUCCAUCCCAACCUUUCAUGCAAUAUUCACUUUAUAUUUCAAAAACAGUAACUUUUUGAUAAAGAAGUUAUUUCAAAACAAUAACGCAAAAUGAAAUGAAGCUCAUUUGUAUUUUCUUUUGUAUGCUGAAAUGUGUCUUUUGUUUUUUUGGUAAAAAUGUGUCUUUUGUUGAUCCUGUAAAUAUGAGACUUUGAGGGUCCUGCUUUUAAAAUCUAGUUUGACGUGUAAAUCAGACUGCAUUAUUGGUUUCUUGGGUUACUUUUGCUGGUAAUAAGUACUCAAGUAAACUGUUCAAUCCCAUCUUCAUCAAAUCAAAUAAUUGAUACAGAAACCGACCCAAUUUGUCAAUAUGACCAAAAUUGAGUUUAUAUAUCUAAAUAAACAAAUCUCAACUAGAGCUUGAUUCGCGAAUAUUUUAUUUUAUUUUUAUAGACAAAUAUAUUUUGUAUAAAUGGUAAUAUGAAUUUUAAAAUUUAUCCGCAUUAAAAAAUUGUUAAACAUGACAUUUCUAAAUACAAUAAUAUAUAGUUUAUAUUGGAAAUUCUUUUUUUUUAAACCGUCAAUUAUAUCAUCUACAUUCUUAGAAUUUGACCUAUGCAUCCACACAAAUAUAUUUCUAUUUUUUACAAAUCAAAAUUUAAUGUAUGAUAAAAUUGGUAUAUAUAACUAUUAAAAUUUGUUGAUAUAUAUUUUAUAAUCUUCUACAUUUAUCAUAUUAAAUUUAUAUUGGGUUUUUAUUUACAUGAAAUAUAUGUAAAUUAUAUAUUUACAUAUUAAUUUAUAUAUUAUUUAUAUAUUAUAUAAAUAACUUCUUACAUGGCUUUAAGUUUUUAGUUAUUAUUAAUAAAUAGUAAGAAAUAUAACUAAUCUUUAAAAUAAAUUUUGUUUAAAUUUAGUAAAUGAAUAGUUAAAUCGAUUUAGAUGGCUUUGUGGUUGUUUUUAUCAUUUUUAUUAAUAAUAUAGCUUUAGCAUAUCUAAAACGAUUUUUUCUCAUGGUUUAUUUUUUAGCUAAAUAAAUAUAGCUUUAGUUGUUUUUAUCAUAAUUAUUAAAUAGUUAUUUUAAAUUUUUGUUUUAACAUUAACUAUUUUGAAGAUCAAUUUAAGAAUUUUUUAUGGUUCUUUUAACUAAUAAUAAGACAAUAAAUGCUAAAAGUUAAGUUUAGGGAGUUUCUUAAUUGCAUUAGAAUAUAAUUAAGUAAUUACUUUAAUAAUAUAGAUAUGAACUAAACAGUUCCAAAAUUAUGAUUCAUAUAAAAAUACUUUUUAGUCUUGUUUGAUCUUUAAAAUAGAAAAUAAAACCUUUUUGUAUCAAAAGAAAAUUAAACUUUUCAAAAUGAGAUAAAAGGCAAACAACCGCCAUGCUACAUUACAAUUUAAAGGGGUAAAUUUGAUAAUUUAUUUGUUCGGACCAGUAGAAUAACUCAUGUGUGUAAAAGAAAUCUGAAAUAUUGAACCGAACCAAAUCAACUAAACCAAACUGAACUAAAAUUUCAGUUAAUUCGGUGAGAAUUUCGGUUUGAUUCGACAGAAUUAUAAAAAAUAAAAUUUGGUUUUCGAUCCGGAAACAAGUUAGUUCGAUGUAUUUUAAAAAAAUUAACCAAAUUUCAAACCGAACUAAUAGAAUCAACCAAAAUUUUGAAUUGAAAUAAUCAAACUAACCAAAAUUAUCUGAAUUCAACAGAAUUUUUAACAGAAUUUUAACCAAAAUUUUGGUUAUUUCCAGUAAAAUUGUUUAAAAUUAAGUUACCCAAAUAUCAAUCCAAAAUUUUUCUGGUUCAAUUUGGCGAUAUUUUGCUCAAACCAAACUAUCUGAAUUUUAACUAUCACUACAAAAAAACACGGGCCUAACGACUACAAAAUCAGUUGUUAAGUUGUCGUAAUACAUUGAUUACGACAAACUAACUACGACUACGAAAUGGUUGUUAGCGACUCGUCGUAAUUGACGAUUCGUCGUAAAGGAGACAUAAUCCUCACGACUGACACAUGACGUCGUAAUAUAGACGUAAAACAAUUCAUCGUAAAGGAGACGUAACUUUAUGUCCUUUACAGAAGUCGUUUAUUGGACGUAACACUUUGAUAAUUAUGUCGUCGUAAAUAUUACGACGAAUAAACAUCGACAACUGUUGUUAAAAGGUCGCAAUAUUUACGACUAUAUUACAUCGCAUUUCGAUGUUAAUUGGUCAUAUUUUUUACGACCAGAUUACGUCGUAUAUUAUAUAAUAUAAUAUAAAAUAUAUGUAUUUGUAAUAUCAAUAAUUUAAAAUAUUAAAAAAUUGAGAUAAAAUUUCAAAAUAUUUUUAAAUUUGGAAAAUUCAUACACAAAAUAUAAUAUAUCAUAAAACAUCCAAAAUGUUAUAAUAUCGAAAAUAGAAAACAUUAAUACAUAACCGAAAGAAAAUCUAAUUAUCAAGGUUGAUGUCGUCAAAGAUCUCGGCACUGUGGUGAAUGGACCGUUGCUCCAAUUCCGCCUGCUCUUCUGGAGUGGGAUUGGGAUUAAUGGUUGGACGUACAUUUUGCCACAUCGCUGCAAGAGCUGGGUUUGUGUCUGCAAGAACAUCGAACAUCCCCGCGAUGGACCUAAGGCGGGUUCUGCUGGCCUGGUUGUCUGCCCGGAGCUCUGAAAUGACUUGGUUGGCAGCUGUCAAAUCUGUCUGGAGCUGCGAAUCGUCAUGCAUUCUCGCCACAUAUUCAGCUCUUGCCCUCGGGACAUCGUUAACCGUACCGAUCCCGACCAUCCGUCCCCUUUUCUUCGGGACAAUCUUAAAUUAAUGAAAUGAAUAUUAGUACAUAUAUAAAACUAAAAAAAUAAAAUGUGUAUAAAAUAUAUUAAAAAGAUUGAAAAUUAUUCCUGUUCAAAUUUUUUUGUCUUGUUCGACGGUAGACAACUGAACCGGUUCAGCUUCGGGAUUUUGUUGGGACAGUUGUGUCUGGACCUCCUGUAUCCGAGUCUCGACAUCUUUGUAGAUCCUUUCCACCUCAGGAUGCACAAACGUCCCAUCAGAAUGCUGGUGUGUCGUCUUAUAAAGCAGGGACAGAGAUGGUGGUGCUACUUCUUGAGCCGCCUACAAAAAAAAUUAAAUUAAUUAAUUUCAUGNNNNNNNNNNNNNNNNNNNNNNNNNNNNNNNNNNNNNNNNNNNNNNNNNNNNNNNNNNNNNNNNNNNNNNNNNNNAUCAAUAAAGACACAUGAGGAUUGCUUACGUGAGAUGUUGGUAACGAUUUGGCAGCUUCAAUGGUUCGAAGGAAAUGGUGCAUGUUAUCAUCGCAAGAGGCAGCAUCAUCGGCGUGUUCAACGCCGUACACAAGCAUACCUUUAAGACCCGUAGCCUCGUAAACACUUCUUACGCGCUGCGCGGCUGCGUCAGCGUCUUCACCGGCGCAGAAAUGGUCAUAAAACGUACUUUUCACAAGUCCAAGGACCAUGUCACGUGUUAACGCGGUUUCCAUGAGUUUAGAACUCAUGACCCACGAUCCAAGAUCCACCAUAGGACCUAUCGCCGCCGCAUGCAGCGCGGCGGUGGAGCGGAGAAGAUCGGAGGUGGGGACAGAGGCAAAGAGACGGGCUUGGUCGGACAGAUCGAUGUCAUUGUGAGCUUCGUUUGGUUUUGGGUGGGGGACAGGUGGCUCUGGCGCUUGUUGUCCGAAGGAGAGUAUCUCCGGGACGACUGCGGUUGAAGCUGUCACGGUGGGCUGACCCACCGGGCUCAAAGCGGAGAAACGGUAAGGACGACGGAUAAAGUUUGUUCGGAGGAGGCGGGCUGCCAUAAAAUUCAAAGAUGUUCUUGAUAAAACGAAAAAUAAAAUUGUUUUUCUUGUCUUUUGAUGUUUCUUAGGCUUCUCGCUUUUAUCGCUUUUCUUUUCUUCUCUCAACGCUUUGUUGUGUGAUUGAUGUCUCCUCCUUUGUUACUGCCACACAUAUUUAUAGAAGAGUAUAAAACUAUAUGCAUAUACAUACACGUUUUACGUGUUCGAUAUAAUAGGAUUGUGAUAAAAUUAAAUCAUCUAAAAUUACAACGGAAUCUUUAUAAAGAAAGUCAAAUUCUUAAAUUUAACUCAACAAUAUAUGUUACCAUAAUAAUUACGGACGACAGAGACAGCCAGGCACUG
This 7154-nucleotide long non-coding RNA is filed under the name Brassica napus (rape). RNAcentral describes it as "long non-coding RNA (BNAP_LNC012258)". The record is from RNAcentral. Lineage: Eukaryota; Viridiplantae; Streptophyta; Magnoliopsida; Brassicales; Brassicaceae.